CUGUGUUUGUGUGCUGUGUUCUCUCUAUGCAGGGUGUGACUGGCAGGUGCUGCUGCACAGGUGUUGCUCAUCUGAGAGCAAUCAGCUGGGCUACUUAUGGAGUGGAAACCCAGAAGGAGGUGUCAGCCUGUUUUCUCACUCGCUCACCCUGAAGGAAGUCGUGGAACCUUUCUGGUCUCCGUUUUCACUUGCGUCAUGUUCAGAGGAGUUUGGAAACUCCAGCCUCAACACCUCAGCCCUGAGCCUCCUCUCUGCUUCCAACUCCAAGCCCAGCUUCUCAGGGGCCACCUGAGAACCCCCCAUCAACCUGCCUGUCCACCCUCUAACGUUAAAACUCUCCAACCAUAGUGGAGUUUCCUGGAAGAGAAGAAACUAAGCACUUCAUCCUCCGAAAACCGUUCACAUCCUGUCAGCCUCAAGCCACCAUGGAGAAGGACUUAUUUACCCCCGGUCUUGCCAAUAACCCCACCCCUGUAAGUCGGCAUCUAAAGAACACAUUUUCUCCGUUUCUACCUAGUGUUUCCCAGCUUCUGUCUUUCUCCUUCAGAGAGACCGCGUGUUCGUCCGCCAGUUCUGGUUCCAGUCCAACCUUUAUCCGUAUUUCUAAAACAAACUGUUAAAACACUGUCUUUGUCCUCAUGGUUGUGUAUCUGAGUCUAAGAGAACCACAUUUUGACAUUACAAUUAAAAGAACCUUGGAUUGGGGAGCUUGCUUUCCUGACCUGUACAGGUUUUUCCUUUUGUGACCUUGAUCCAUCGGACCUACCAAAAAGCUUAGCCAUACUGCUGCGUUGGUGCUCUAGUGUAAAGAUUUCAAAACCUUGCAGUUCUGACCCAAAAAUUACAUAUCCAGAGAUCUGAUCCUGACCACUACAGCUAAAAUUAAUGAAUGAAUGUGUAUCUUUAUGCAUCAGAGCAAAAUGUGAUAGACAAAUAGACAGAUAUCCUUCAAAAGUGUCUUAAGAAUUGUGAAGAGUUGAAAGUGUAAGAUUUCAGUUUUUUUUUUUUUUUUACACCAUAUCUCUCUCCCUAUAAAACAGAAAAUGUAAAGUUAACUGCACCACAGAAUGCCAGAAUUGUUCAUAAAAUUUUAUUUUACCCUUAUAUUUUCCUAAAGCAUGGACCCAAUUUUUGGACCCUGCACAUAAACUGUUUAUAGUUUUACCUUCAGGCCAUCGCUACAGACCGCAGUUUACUAAAACCAGCUGCCACAGAGACAGUUUCUUCCCCCAGGCUGUUUCUCUGAUAAACAUUUAAUAGAGUACCAAACACGGCAUACUGAAGUCGCAAAUACAUCUUUAUAUAUAUGUAUAUUUAAGGACAUAAAGAUAUAUGCAUACAAACACAGAGUAAAGUGUACCGGAGUCAAAUUCCUUGUUUGUUUGUAUGAACUUGGCAAUAAAGCUGAUUCUGA
Long non-coding RNA from Girardinichthys multiradiatus, 1414 nucleotides. RefSeq lists it as uncharacterized. The transcript is spliced from 2 exons. Lineage: Eukaryota; Metazoa; Chordata; Actinopteri; Cyprinodontiformes; Goodeidae. The record is from RefSeq and is a predicted model, not a curated record.